Molecule: transfer RNA, 59 nt
Filed under: Sciurus anomalus (Caucasian squirrel)
Lineage: Eukaryota; Metazoa; Chordata; Mammalia; Rodentia; Sciuridae
Description: tRNA-Ser
Source: RNAcentral
AAGAAAGCAUGCAAGAACUGCUAACUCAUGCCUCCACGCCUAAACCCGUGGCUUUCUUA